RNAcentral lists this ribosomal RNA (500 nucleotides) under uncultured bacterium. RNAcentral describes it as "partial 16S ribosomal RNA". It matches the Rfam family "Bacterial small subunit ribosomal RNA", at positions 30 to 523 of the family's 1533-position model. The record is from RNAcentral.
AUUGAACGCUGGCGGCAUGCUUUACUCAUGCAAGUCGAACGGUAACAGGGUGCUUGCACCGCUGACGAGUGGCGAACGGGUGAGUAAUGCGUCGGAACGUGCCGAGUAGUGGGGGAUAACGCAGCGAAAGUUGUGCUAAUACCGCAUACGUACUGAGGUAGAAAGUGGGGGACCUUCGGGCCUCACGCUAUUCGAGCGGCCGACGUCUGAUUAGCUAGUAGGUGAGGUAAAGGCUCACCUAGGCGACGAUCAGUAGCGGGUCUGAGAGGAUGAUCCGCCACACUGGGACUGAGACACGGCCCAGACGCCUACGGGAGGCAGCAGUGGGGAAUUUUGGACAAUGGGCGAAAGCCUGAUCCAGCCAUGCCGCGUGUCUGAAGAAGGCCUUCGGGUUGUAAAGGACUUUUGUCAGGGAGGAAAUCCCUAGUGCUAAUAACACUGGGGGAUGACAGUACCUGAAGAAUAAGCACCGGCUAACUACGUGCCAGCAGCCGCGGUAA